UAAGAUGAAUCGUUUGUUUUAGGUGAGUGU
RNAcentral lists this non-coding RNA (30 nucleotides) under Mus musculus (house mouse). The record is from RNAcentral. Lineage: Eukaryota; Metazoa; Chordata; Mammalia; Rodentia; Muridae.